GACGAACGCUGGCGGCGUGCUUAACACAUGCAAGUCGAACGGAAAGGCCCUGCUUUUGUGGGGUGCUCGAGUGGCGAACGGGUGAGUAACACGUGAGUAACCUGCCCUUGACUUUGGGAUAACUUCAGGAAACUGGGGCUAAUACCGGAUAGGAGCUCCUGCUGCAUGGUGGGGGUUGGAAAGUUUCGGCGGUGGGGGAUGGACUCGCGGCUUAUCAGCUUGUUGGUGGGGUAGUGGCUUACCAAGGCUUUGACGGGUAGCCGGCCUGAGAGGGUGACCGGCCACAUUGGGACUGCGAUACGGACCAGACGCCUACGGUAGGCAGCAGUGGGGAAUAUUGCACAGUGGGCGGAAGCCUGAUGCAGCAACGCCGCGUGCGGGAUGACGGCCUUCGGGUUGUAAACCGCUUUCGCCUGUGACGAAGCGUGAGUGACGGUAAUGGGUAAAGAAGCACCGGCUAACUACGUG
RNAcentral lists this ribosomal RNA (468 nucleotides) under uncultured bacterium. RNAcentral's name for it is "partial 16S ribosomal RNA". It matches the Rfam family "Bacterial small subunit ribosomal RNA", at positions 28 to 507 of the family's 1533-position model. The record is from RNAcentral.